RNAcentral lists this transfer RNA (73 nucleotides) under Hydrophis curtus (Shaw's sea snake). RNAcentral's name for it is "tRNA-Asn". Lineage: Eukaryota; Metazoa; Chordata; Lepidosauria; Squamata; Elapidae. The record is from RNAcentral.
UGGGUCAAUGUCCGUCGGUUAGGACAGCUAAUUGUUAAUUAGUUAUUUGUGGGAUCAAAGCCCGCUGACUCAG